Molecule: ribosomal RNA, 460 nt
Filed under: uncultured bacterium
Lineage: Bacteria
Description: partial 16S ribosomal RNA
Rfam family: Bacterial small subunit ribosomal RNA
Source: RNAcentral
CCUACGGGUGGCAGCAGUGAGGAAUAUUGGUCAAUGGGCUUACGCCUGAACCAGCCAAGUCGCGUGCGGGAAGACUGCCCUAUGGGUUGUAAACCUCUUUUGUCAGGGAGCAACGCCGGCUACGUGUAGCCGGACUGAGAGUACCUGAAGAAAAAGCACCGGCUAACUCCGUGCCAGCGGCCGCGGUAAUACGGGGGAUGCGAGCGUUAUCCGGUUUUAUUGGGUUUAAAGGGUGCGUAGCCGGAAUGCCAAGUCGGCGGUAAAUGCGCGGGGCUAAAUCUCGCUCCGCCGUUGAAACUGGCGUUCUUGAGAGGGCGAGAGGUAGGCGGAAUGCGUGGUGUAGCGGUGAAAUGCAUAGAGAUCACGCAGAACUCCGAUUGCGAAGGCAGCAUACCGGCGCCCAACUGACGCUGAAGCACGAAAGCGUGGGUAUCGAACAGGAUUAGAUACCCGAGUAGUC